GAACAAUGUUAAUCUGAACUAACAAUUUUCUAGUCAACUUUCAUGUGACCAGUUAACCUGACACGCACACACACACACACACAUAUAUGUUUCUAGUGGUAUACUUAUGGGGUCCAGUUGAGCUCACACACACACAUAUGUUUCUAGUGGUAUACUUAUGGGGUCCAGUUGAGCUCACACACACACAUAUGUUUCUAGUGGUAUACUUAUGGGGUCCAGUUGAGCUCACACACACAUAUGUUUCUAGUUGUAUACUUAUGGGGUCCAGUUGAGCUCACACACAUGUAUACGUUUCUAGUCUUAUCUUGGUGGGGUCCUCCCGUAUGUAUAUCACUCUUAAGUGAUUUUACAUUAUUUCAGCAUCUUUCAAUAUUUAAACUCAAGUUGUUACAGGUAACAUUUUUCAUACACACUACCUUUUCUAACUUGUGAAUCUCUCCACAUACAUGAUUACUGUCAGUUCUUAAUGUGUUCCUGUUUUUUAUAUAAAUUCCAGGUGACAAGCCACCAGACAGAGACGCUCCCUGUUGAUCAAACAUCCCAUGAGGAUUCAGACAUCGAUGCUGCUACCACACAGGUGACAAGCCACCAGACAGAGACGCUCCCUGUUGAUCAAACAUCCCAUGAGGAUUCAGACAUCGAUGCUGCUACCACACAGGUGUGUACUGUCAAAGGUGUUUCCCUUGUGGAUUAUCUGUUAACUGAUGAAACAGAUGAGGAUUGUAUCGAAGACCAACCUCUGACUCCACACUGUGAUGACAUUUUUGGAAAGCAGAGUAGGAGUGAAAACAUUCUGAUGGAUAGAGUAUCCGAUUUUUCUGAGCCUCUGUAUGAUUCAAAUGAGACUAAAGUGGAGGAAACCGAUGAAGAGGAUUCUAUAAUAGGCCAUUCCAGUGUGCAAGCAGAUGGGGAACUUGUUCCAAAGCUGAGAAGGACGAAAAGCAUUCUGGUAAACAAACUGCUGCCAAACGAAGCUGGACACCAGAGGAAUGUGCAUGCAUGUGAAUGCAUCAUGAUGAGCCAAGUUCCAAGGAAAACAGACUGUCAGCGCUGCAUUACUGCCGAACCUCAAGCCCUUGCAAAUAGAGACUGGAAAGCAGUUAAAUUCUUCAUCAAAAAUCGAAUUACUGCCCUGAGGAGAAGAAAACUAUAGUGACAGCACUUCACUAAACGGGUAGAAACAUUAGGCUGGAGGGAGAACCCCUAAAAGUGUUUGUGCUCUUUCUCUAGUAAUUAGGGGUCCAAGCCCGAAGUGGCAUGGGAACCGCAUUUGCAAGGCAGUUUUAGUAGUUUUUGUUCUCCUUGUAUUCUUCUUGUGUUGUCCUGUUAGUUAUUUUUUGUCUUCAAUAUAAAAAGCGGAUCCAGACCAAUCCAUAAUAUUAACUUUUGAAGAAAAAGUUUAUAUAAAUGUUUUUUUUCCACUUUAAAUUUAAGUUUAAAUGGACGGAUAGUUCUUUAUACUUUAUAUUCUUAUACUAACAACUUUUACCAAGGAAAUCAUUUUUGGAUUGUAAUGAGAUCAUGACAAGUUGUGAGCAUGCUUUUUUUUUAUUAUUAUUUUUACUUAUCCCUCUUUCUACUUACUUACUUGACUUAUACUUGAUUUUCAUAUACAUGUGAGAAGUAAAUGUAGUGACUCAAAUACAUGUUAAAAAAUACAUGCUCAUUGAAGACAAAGCAUUUUGUAGUUUUUUUAUGCAAGGUUUUAUGUAAAAUAUUACUGAUAGUUACCCCUAGAAACAACAAUGUUAAUUUAAAAUGGCAUUUGGGGCUGAUUUGGAAGAGUCUCCAUAGUUUUGGAAAUGUUGAGUAGGAGCUCAUUUUUUGAAUAUCAUGUUAAUGCGCUGUCUACCUAAAGAUGAUCCUUGUCAAGAUGAGGCCAAACAUGGUAGUGACUGAGCUAACCAGGGAUUUUAAUUGGUUGGUCCUGUAGAUUCUUUGGUAAUCAAGGACAAACCAGAGAAACCAUUAAAGUCUCCAGAUAGUAACAUUGGUCCCUGCUAAUGUAUAAAAACAAGGAAUAUGUGUGAGUGGAGCUCACAAGUCCUGAAUGCUAGAAACGAGCCCCACAAGUGGCGAAAAAACUAGCAUGGAGAAAAAAGUUUUGAAUUCUGUUAAAUUGAAGUGGUAUUUGUGAUUAGGAACUGCUCUUUUUAUUGCCUGAUUUUUUACAAAGGUGUAGAACCACUGUAAAGGGUGGACCCCACAAUUGGGUAAAAAAUAUGUGGACCUCUCAAAGGAGGAAAACGAGUAUGUG
Long non-coding RNA from Sander lucioperca (pikeperch), 2257 nucleotides. The record is from Ensembl. Lineage: Eukaryota; Metazoa; Chordata; Actinopteri; Perciformes; Percidae.